AGUAUUCAACCCCUUUUUUAUUUGCAAGACUAAAUAAGUUCAGGAAUAAAAAUGUGCUUAACAAGUCACAUAAUAAGUUGCAUGGACUCAUUCGGUGUGGAAUAACAGUGUUUAACAUUAUUUUUGAAUGACUACCUCAUCUCUGUACCCCACACAUACAAUUAUCUGUAAGGUCCCUCAGUUGAGCAGUGAAUUUCAAACACAGAUUCAACCACAAAGACCAGGGAGGUUUUCCAAGGCCUGUUUACAACAAGGCACUAAAGUUAUCCUGCAAAACAUGUGGCAAAGCAAUUCACUUUUUGUCAUGAAUACAAAGUGUUAUGUUUGGGGCAAAUCCAAUACAACACAUUACUGAGUACCACUCUUCAUAUUUUCAAGCAUAGUGGUGGCUGCAUCAUGUUAUGGUUAUGCUUGGGGAGUUUUUCAGGAUAAAAAAGAAACGGAAUAAAGCUAAGCACAAGCAAAAUACUAGAGGAAAACCUUGUUCAGUCUGCUUUCCACCAGACCCUGGAAGAUGAAUUCACCUUUCAGCAGGACAAUAACCUAAAACUCAAGUCCAAAUCUACACUGGAGUUGCUUACUAAGAAGACAGCGAAUGUUCCUGAGUGGCUGAGUAACAUUUUUGACUUAAAUCUGCUGAAAAUCUAUGGCAAGACUUGAAAAUGGUUGUCUAGCAAUAAUCAACAACCAAUUUGACAGAGCUUGAAGAAUUCAGAAAAUACUAAUGGGCAAAUGUUACACAAUCCAGGUGUGGACAGCUCUUAGGUCGUGUCUACACUUGACACCUACAUACGACUUCUGCUAUCAGAAUACGAAGAUGGCAUUGAAAAGACGGGUCUAGAUGCACAAAAGUGGCUUUGUGGAGUUCUUGUGUUCAGAUCUGUGGGAUGCAUUAUGUGUGGAUUUCUCCUCAGUCUGGACGCAAUCAGGCUACCGAAAGUGCAUACAGUGGGCAACAUCAUCAGCACUCCUCCCACAAGUCUCCAGAAAACUUGUGUUUUGGACCGAGAGGUACCAUUUCAUUAUGAUGUUGGAAGAAAUACAUUCCUAGCGUGUGAGGAACGUGUUUGCUGGUCUCAUAAAAUGCUAGCCAGCUACCUAAUAUUUAGAAAAAAUAUUUUUUGUUUAGCUAGAGUUAUGCUAACCUACAGAGGUUAGCUGGCUAGUUAGCUACAGUAGUUAGCUACUGCCAUCAGUUGUUGUGUUAUAAUAUUUUGCCUAUUCCACCAUUUGUAGAAUGCCUACUGGCAUUUGGAUAUAUAGUAUGGGAAUGGGGAAUCCGGACACAUUGUUGGACACAUUUAAAUGUAGAUACAUGACAGAAUUCCAUGAUCAGAACUCUAAAGCUGCAUGAACUGUCAAGUCUAGACCCGGCCUUAUAGACUUACCCAGAAAGACUAACAGCUGUAAUCGCUACCGAAGACACUUAUAGAAAGCAUUGACUCACGGGGGUGAAUACUUAUGUUAAUGAGAUAUUUCUGUGUUUCAUUUUCAAUAAAUACUUACAGUACCAGUCAAAUGUUUGGACACACCUACUCAUUCAAGGGAUAUUAACUUUAUUUUUUACUAUUUUCUACAUUGUAGAAUAAUAGUGAAGACAUCAAAACUAUGAAAUAACACAUAUGGAAUCAUGUAGUAACCAAAAAAGUGUUAAACCAAUCAAAAUAGAUUUUAGAUUCUUCAAAGUAGCCACCCUUUGCCUUGAUGACAGCUUUGCACACUCUUGGCAUUCUCUCAAUCAGCUUCAUCUGAAAUGCUUUUCCAACAGUCUUGAAGAAGUUCACACAUAUGCUGAGCACUUGAUGGCUGCUUUUCCUUCACUCUGCAGGUCCAACUCAUCCCAAACCAUCUCAAUUGGUUUGAGGUUGGGUGAUUGUGGAGGCCAAGUCAUCUGAUGCAGCACUCCAUCACUCUCCUUCUUGGUCAAAUAGCCCUUACACAGCCUGGAGGAGUGUUGAGUCAUUGUCUUGUUGGAAAACAAAUGAUAGUCCCACUAAGGGCAAACCAGAUGGGAUGGUGUAUCGCUGCAUAAUGCUGUGGUAGCCAUGCUGGUUAAGUGUGCCUUGAAUUCCAAAUAACUCACAGACAGUGUCACCAGCAAAGCACCCCCACACCAUCACACCUCCUCCUCCAUGCUUCACGGUGGGAACCACACAUGCGGAGAUCAUCCGUUCACCUACUCUGCGUCUCACAAAGACACGGCGGUUAGAACAAAAAAUCUCAAAUUUGGACUCAUCAGACCAAAGGACAGAUUUCCACUGGUCUAAUGUCCAAUGCUCAUGUUUCUUGGACAAGCAAGUCUCUUCUUCUUAUUUGUGUCCUUAAUUAAGUAGUGGUUUCUUAGCAGCAAUUCGACCAUGAAGGCCUGAUUCAUGCAGUCUCCUCUGAACAGUUGACGUUGAGAUGUGUCUGUAACUUGAACUCUGUGAAGCAUUUAUUUGGGCUGCAAUUUCUGAGGCUGGUAAGUCUAAUGAACUUAUCCUCUGCAGCAGAGGUAACUCUGGGUCUUCCAUUCCUGUGGCGGUCCUCAUGAGAGCCAGUUUCAUCAUAGCACGUGAUGGCUUUUGCGAUUGCACUUGAAAAAACGUUAAAAGUUCUUGAAAUUUUCCGGAUUGACUGACCUUCAUGUCUUAAAGUAAUGAUGGACUGUCAUUUCUCUUUGCUUAUUUGAGGUGUUCUUGCCAUAAUAUGGACUUGGUCUUUUACCAAAUAGGGCUUUCUUCUGUAUACCACCCCUACCUUGUCACAACACAACUGAUUGGCUCAAACACAUUAAGAACAAAAUAAAUUCCACAAAUUAACUUUUAACAAGGCACCCCUCUUAAUUGAAAUGCUAUCUAGGUGACUACCUCAUGAAGAUGUUUGAGAGAAUGCCAAGAGUGUGCAAAGUUGUCAUCAAGGCAAAGGUUGGCUGCUUUGAAGAAUCUCAAUUAUAAAAUAUAUUUUGAUUUGUUUAACUAUUUAUUGGUUACUACAUGAUUCCAUGUGUUAUUUCAUCAUUUUCAUGUCUUCAAUAUUAUUCUACAAUGUAGAAAAUAGUUAAAAAAAAUAAGAAAACCCCUUGAAUGAGUAGGUGUGUGAAAACCUUUGACUGAUACUGUAUAUUUCAUCCAUUUUGAACUCAGCCUGUAACAUAACAAAAUGUGGAAUACGUCAAGGGGUAUGGAUACUUUCUGAAGGCAGUGUAAGUGAACAAGGUAAGGUUAAACCGUGGGAAAGAGACUAGGGGAGAUAGUAGCCAGAUAGAGAGGGCAUCAGUGAACAGCUAAGAGCCUGUACUUAGUGUCUUUAAAGAAAACGCUUUGAAAAGCCACUCACACUGUUAGUCUUUGAGCAGACCUCCCCAAACCUAUAAACUUAUAGAGAGAAAGAGGGAGGGAAGGACCAAAAGGGAGGAGUGUGUGUAUGUGUGUGUAAUGGUUUGUGAGUCGCUCCAGGGGGGUCUGUGCUAUGUAAGUGAUGAUGUGUGUGUUGAUGUUUGUAUGAUGAUAGGUUAGUUGUUCAGGAGGGUGUGUGUGUGUUGAUGUUAGUAUGAUGAUAGGUUAGUUGUUCAGGAGGGUGUGUGUUGAUGUUAGUAUGAUGAUAGGUUAGUUGUUCAGGAGGGUGUGUGUGUGUUGAUGUUAGUAUGAUGAUAGGUUAGUUGUUCAGGAGGGUGUGUGUUGAUGUUAGUAUGAUGAUAGGUUAGUUGUUCAGGAGGGUGUGUGUUGAUGUUAGUAUGAUGAUAGGUUAGUUGUUCAGGAGGGUGUGUGUUGAUGUUAGUAUGAUGAUAGGUUAGUUGUUCAGGAGGGUGUGUGUGUGUUGAUGUUAGUAUGAUGAUAGGUUAGUUGUUCAGGAGGGUGUGUGUUGAUGUUAGUAUGAUGAUAGGUUAGUUGUUCAGGAGGGUGGGUGUGUCUUUACGUGGGUUUUGGGAGGGAGUGAGUUUGUGUAUUUGGUUUGUAUGGACACCGGAAUGUAUUUAAGUGUUCAGUUUGAGAGUGUAUAUAGGUAGGCAGGUUUGAACAAGAGGGUUGACCAUGACAGAAACUAGGGUUGCAUCCCAAAUGGCACCCAAUAGCCUGCACAGUGCACUACUUUUGACCAGAGCCCUAUGGGGAAUAGGGUGCCAUUUGGGACGCAGCCUAGGGAAUCAAGGCCCUGGGCUUUAGAGGAUAGACAUUGUGACAGAGACCUGUGGCGUCUCCAGGACCUGACUCAUAGACCAGGAACUCAGAGUCAGGGAGAGACGAGGGUGGUGGGGGUCAGGGCGAGACGAGGGUGGUGGGUUUGGGACGAAGGUGGGGGAAGGGGGGUUAAUGGAACUUUUAUGGGUUUGUCGUGCAAUCAUGUGACCCCUGGCAUCUUUCCCCUUUCUCUCUCCCUUUCUCCCCCUUCUCUCUCCCUCUCUCACCCCUUCUCUCGGUCUCUCUCUCAAUUUCAAUUCAAAGGGAUUUAUUGGCAUGGCAAAUGGUGUUUGUUCUUCACUGGUUGACCUUUCCUUGUGGCAACAGGUCAUGCUGCUGUUGUGCUGUUGUUGUGAUGGCACACUGGUAUUUCAUCCAAUAGAUAUGAGAGUUUAUUAAGAUUGAAUGUGUUUUCAAAUUCUUUGUGGGUCUGUGUUAUCUGAGGGAAAUAGGUCUUUAAUAUGGUCAUACAUUUGGUUAGGAAGUGCAGCUCGGUUUCCAUCUAAUUUUGUGGGCAGUGGGCACAGUCUGCCUAUGGCGGCCUCUCUCAAUAGCAAAGCUAUGCUCACUGAGGCUGUACAUAGUCAAAGUUUUCUUCAAUUUGGGUCAGGUAUUCUGCCACUGUCAGGUAUUCUGCCACUGUGUACUCUCUGUUUAGAGCCAAAUAACAUUCCAGUUUGCUCAGUUUUUUUGUUGAUUCUUUACAAUGUUUCCAGCAUUAUCUUUUAGUUUUCUCAUUAUUUGGUUGGGUCUAAUUGUGUUUCUGUCCUGGGGCUCUGUGGGGUCUUUUUUGUUUGUGAACAACAGAGACCCCGUAUCAGCUGGCGAGGGAUUUGUUAUGGAAGGUUUGAGAAUAAUUUAUUUUUAGGUGGUUGUAGAAUUUAAUUGGUCUACAUUGAUUUUGAUAAUUAGGGGGAAUCAUCUUAAUUCUGCUCUGCAAGCAUUAUUGGGUGUUGUACAGGGAAGAUGUUUUUGCAGAAGAUCAUGGUGCUGCUGUAGGCCCUACUUGGUUGGGGACAGAAUCCCCAGAUCAUCCGCAAACUAGAUCUUCGAACGCAGUAAGAAGCAUAGAGUGAGUGCCAUGACCUGCUGCAGAAGAACAGUCAGAAAAUUGACCGUAAUCUCUCCUCUCUUCUGUCCAGCCCUCCUAUCCUCCACCAAAGCUUCCUCACUCUUCCCCUCCCCUCUCCUCUGUCCAGCCCUCCCCCUCCCCCAUCUCCCUCACUCCUCAUUUGUCCAUGUCUUUUAGCCAGAGGGUGAGUCUGGAGGGGGAGGGCUAGGCUGGAGGAGGGGGGCAUAUUGUAGGUGUGGAUUGAUGGACUUUGGCAUGGGUAAGCGGGUCUGGGACCGGACAGGAGAAUCAUAAAACAGUCUAAGGGAUGAGAGGCAGGAGGUGGCCAGACGCAACUUUUAAUGUUCCCCAUGACUCACACUGACUGUCCAUAAUGAGUUUUAUUCACUUCCAUCAUUUGAGUGUCAAUGACGAUCAUGGGCCGGGCAGAGAAAAUGAUUGAAGGAGGAGAGUGUGAGGGGGGGGGCACAUAGAUACACAUGUCCUAUGACCACAAGGCAACCUGCAGUUGACCGCUACAAACAAGGCGAUAAGGAUGGUCACAUUGCAUUAUGACCAGACCAUUGCAAAGUAACCAUAAGUAAGAGUGGAAAGCUGAUUGGAAGGAUGGAACACUGGUCAUUCCUGAGAAAGAAUAGAAAGCUGAUUGUUUGACAGAUUUGGGAUCACUUCAGUCCAAAUGUGUUGAUAAUGGCAUGUCAUUUAGGACUGAAGAAAUCUCACUGUGGGGUAGAUCAACAGCCUUCAUUCCUGAAAACCAUCACUGGUUUACCUUGCCCUUCUCAUUCUCUUUCUCUACUUCCUCUUACUCCUCCUGUUAUUCAAGCCCAUAUUCUGUUUCUUUCUCCACCUUCCUGUCUCUCCAUCCAGGCACAGCUCCCUCAUACAAAGGAGACGGUGAUAAUCCCCCAAAAAAGAGAUCAAUAUCUUCUCAUCCUUUUUAUGUCUCUUCACACUCUCUUUCUCUCUCCCUCGGUCCUCCUCUCCUCCCCACACCUAUAGGCAGGACCCCUUCACAGGCACUCCACAGACAGGCAGUUUAAAGAUAAUAAUCAAUAUUGAUCCAGAGAGAGAGAGAACGAAAGAGAGAAGGAAAGAAAGAGGGAAUAAGGAGGAAGAAGGGUGCGAGGGAGGGAGUGACCGGCCCUCACUCUGUCUGGUCUCUGACACGAUCAAUGAGCUUUAGCGGAUAGAGGAUGGAUGGAGCCUCUGACUGCUUUAGAGGAUAGAGGAUGGAUGGAGCCUCUGACUGCUUCCUAGUCAGUGACACUGCUAAAGAGAUUACACCCCAGGAGCGACACAGCCAUGGCCCACACACUCUCCACCUCUCUCUUUCUGUUUCUCCCUCUAUCUGUCUCUAUUUCUGCCUCUCUCUCGCUAUAUACACUACCGUUCAAAAGUUUGGGGUCACUUAGAAAUGUCCUUGUUUUUGAAAGAAAAUGACUUUUUUGUCUGUUUCUCAAACUAGUCACUAUAAUGUACUUGUCCUCUUGCUCAGUUGUGCACCGGGGCCACCCACUCCUCUUUCUAUUCUGGUUAGAGCCAGUUUGCGCUGUUCUGUGAAGGGAGUAGUACACAGCAUUGUACGAGAUCUUCAGUUUCUUGGCAAUUUCUCGCAUGGAAUAGCCUUCAUUUCUCAGAACAAGAAUAGACUGACGAGUUUCAGAAGAAAUGUCUUUGUUUCUGGCCAUUUUGAGCCUGUAAUCGAACUCACAAACGCUGAUGCUCCAGAUACUCAACUAGUCUAAAGAAGGCCAGUUUAUUUGCUUCAAUCAGAACAACUGUUUUCAGCUGUGCUAACAUAAUUGCAAAAGGGUUUUCUAAUGAUCAAUUAGCCUUUUAAAAUGAUCAACUUGGAUUAGCUAACACAACGUGCCAUUGGAACACAGGAGAGAUGGUUGCUGAUAAUGGGCCUCUAUACGCCGUUUCCAACUACAAUAGUCAUUUACAACAUUAACAAUGUCUACACUGUAUUUCUGAUCAAUUUGAUGUUAUUUUAAUGGACCAUUUUUUAAAUUUUCUUUCAAAACAAGGACAUUUCUAAGUGACCCCCAAACUUUUGAACGGAAAGUAUUCAGACCCCUUGACAUUUUCCACAUUUUGUUAGGUUACAGCCUUAUUCUAAAAUUCAAUCUACACACAAUAACCCAUAGCGACAAAGUAAAAACAGGUUUUUAGAUAUUUUUGCUAAUUUAUUCCAUUUAAAAACAGAAAUAUCAUAUUUACAUAAUUAUUCAGACCCUUUACCCAGCACUUUGUUGAAGCACCUUUGGCAGUGAUUACAGCCUUGAGUCUUCUUGGGUAUGAUGCUACAAGCUUGGCACACAUGUAUUUGGGGAGUUUCUCCCAUUCCUCUCUGCAGUGUUGCUGCACAGCUAUUUUCAGGUCUAUCCAAAGAUGUUCAAUCUGGUUCAAGUCCGGGCUCUGACUGGGCCACUCAAGGACAUUCAGAGACUUGCCCCAAAGCCACGCUUGCGUUGUCUUGGCUGUGUGCUUCAGGUCAUUGUCCUGUUGGAAGGUGAACCUUCACCCCAGUCUGAGGUCAUGAGCGCUGUGGAGCAGGUUUUCAUCAAGGAUCUCUCUGUACUUUUCUCCGUUCAUCUUUGCCUCAAUCCUGUCUAGUCUCCCAGUCCAUGCCACUGAAAAACAUCCCCACAGCAUGAUGCUGCCACCACCAUGCUUCACCGAAGGGAUGGUGCCAGGUUUCCUCUAGACGUGACACUUAGCAUUCAAGCCAAAGAGUUCAAUCUUGGUUUCAUCAGACCAGAGAAUCUUGUUUCUCAUGGUCUAAAAGUCUUUAGGUGACUUUUGGCAAACUCCAAGCUGCCUGUCAUGUGCCUUUUACUGAGGGGUGGCUUCUGUCUGGCCACUCUACCAUAAACGCCUGAUCGGUGGAGUGCUGAAGAGAUGGUUGUCCUUCUGGAAGAUUCAUCCAUCUCCACAAAUGAACUCUAGAGCUCUGUCAGAGAGCCAUCGUGUUCUUGGCCACCUCGGCCCUUCUCUCCCGAUUGCUCAGUUUUGCCGGGCGGCCAGCUCUAGGAAGAGUCUUGGUGGUUCCAAACUUCUUCCAUUUAAGAAUGAUGGAGGCCACUGUGUUCUGGGGACCUUCAAUGCCGCAGACAUUUUUGGUACCCUUCCCCAGAUCUGUACUUCGACACAAUCUUGUCUCUGAGCUCUACGGACAAUUCCUUCGACCUCAUGGCUUGGUUUUUGCUCUGACAUGCACUGUCAACUGUGGGACCUUAUAUAGACAGGUGUGCCUUUCCAAAUCAUGUGCAAUCAAUGGAAUUUACCACAGGUGGACUCCAAUCAAGUUGUAGAAACAUCUCAAGGAUGAUCAGUAGAAACAGGAUGCACCUGAGCUCAAUUUCGAGUCUCAUAGCAAAUGGUCUGAAUACUUAUGUACAUUUCUUUUCUUAUACAUUUGAAAACAUUUCUAAAAACCUGUUUUCGCCUUGUCAUUAUGUGGUAUAGUGUAUCGAUUAAUGAGGCAAAUUUAAAAAAAAAAAAAUGUUUUUAGAACAAGGCUGUAACAUAACAAAAUGUGGAAAAAGUGAAGAGGUCUGAAUACUUUCCGAAUGCACCGUACAUGAGGCUGUUUUAUGUGUGCAUGUAAUGUGUGUGUGCCUGCGUGCCUGCGUGUGUGUACAGGGUGUGUUGAGGUGACUGUACAUGAAACAUUGGUCUCAUUUUUCACACACUCCAGAGUAUUGAUCUGAAGGCAACAUGCAGUGAUCUACAGGGCAGUUACAUUAGGACAUGACACAUACACACCUUACUGUCUCUUUACAAGGCCGUUACAUUAGAGGGAAAUUACACACACACACACACACACACACACACACACACACACACACACACACACACACACACACACACACACACACACACACACACACACACACAC
This 9139-nucleotide long non-coding RNA is filed under the name Salmo salar (Atlantic salmon). RNAcentral describes it as "lncRNA (ENSSSAG00000112878.1)". The record is from RNAcentral. Lineage: Eukaryota; Metazoa; Chordata; Actinopteri; Salmoniformes; Salmonidae.